RNAcentral lists this ribosomal RNA (433 nucleotides) under uncultured bacterium. RNAcentral describes it as "bacterial SSU rRNA". It matches the Rfam family "Bacterial small subunit ribosomal RNA", at positions 352 to 782 of the family's 1533-position model. The record is from RNAcentral.
CAGUAAGGAAUAUUGGUCAAUGGGGGCAACCCUGAACCAGCCAUGCCGCGUGCAGGAAGACAGCCCUACGGGUCGUAAACUGCUUUUGUACGGGAAUAAACCCCUCCUCGUGAGGAGGGCUGAACGUACCGUAAGAAUAAGGAUCGGCUAACUCCGUGCCAGCAGCCGCGGUAAUACGGAGGAUCCAAGCGUUAUCCGGAUUUAUUGGGUUUAAAGGGAGCGUAGGCGGCCCGUUAAGUCAGGGGUGAAAGACGGUGGCUCAACCAUCGCAGUGCCUUUGAUACUGACGGGCUUGAAUGUAGUUGAGGUGGGCGGAAUGUGACAAGUAGCGGUGAAAUGCAUAGAUAUGUCACAGAACACCGAUUGCGAAGGCAGCUCACUAAGCUAUGAUUGACGCUGAGGCUCGAAAGCGUGGGGAUCAAACAGGAUUAGA